Molecule: long non-coding RNA, 464 nt
Organism: Hemicordylus capensis (graceful crag lizard)
Lineage: Eukaryota; Metazoa; Chordata; Lepidosauria; Squamata; Cordylidae
Exons: 3
Source: RefSeq, a predicted model, not a curated record
UUUUGGUGGUGUUUUUAGCUGCAUUGGAGAGGGGCAGAGCCAUGAGUGCGCACAUGUGGAAACCCUGAAGUUCUGAAGAUCUAGGGUCCAAGCUUGCAUUUGUCACUGUUGGCCAGUCCUUGGUCUAUGAACCUCACUACCACACAAGCUAACUAUACUCAAGAGCCUUUGGAGAGGCACUUUGUCAACAGCAUUUAGAAUGUCCAAGUAUAAAUGUCUACCAUGUCGCUUCUAUCCAUAUGCUUGUUGACAUCAUCAUCAUCAUCAUUAUCAACAUUUAUAUUCCACUCUUCCAUCUCAAAGAUCUAGAAGACAUUAAGCUAACUGGCCUAUAGGAGAAGAGCAAAGCCAAGAUAAAUUUUCAAAUACCUAAAAGACUGCUAAAAAGAAGAUGGAUAAUUGUUUACCAGAGAUACUGAAGAACAUCAAGAAGAAAUUGUUCACAUUGCAGCAGAGCAGCUAUG